AAGAAUGGAAAAGGACAAUUUACCUCUCGCCAACCAGAUCGUAUUUCCUCAAUAUCGGUGAUUUUUCAUCUUCAGAGAACUCAUUUUGAGAUUCUUUACCAAUUUCAGCAACAAAGCGACUCAAUUUUUAAAGAGCAUAUUAUAUCAUCUGGAAAAUAUCUAUAAAUUUAGAGAAUGAAAAUUUUGAAAUACUCCAACAUGCUCUUUAUAUUUGACACAUAAUUUAAAGUCUCUUGGAAAUGCUCUAGGGCUAUUGUUUUCAUUCGACAAAGUGUAGAAUCUUGAUAUACUUGUAUACAUAUCCCAUAGAGAAUUUCAAUUUAAAUAUUUUUUUCUUUUAAACUCAUCUCAUUAAAAUUCAAUCUUAUUUUAAAAAGUAGACAAUUGAGUCAACUAUCACCAUUAAAAUUUGAAAUAUAAAGUACUAAAAUGCACUAAUAUAUUUUGCCAAAAGAAAAAGGAAAAAUGAAAUUGGCUAUGAAGUACCCUCACUGCAAUUUGGUUAUGGAGAAAAAUUCCAUGUUCCUUAUAUGUUGUUUAGAGCUUGUUUGGUUUAGAUUUUAAGUCAAUUAAAAACAAUUUUUUCACUAUUAUUGCAUUAUUCCAGCCGUCAUUUUUUAAUUCUUCUCUCACGGGUAGGACCCAUUUUUUUCUAACGGUCAAAAAAAUCAAUUAUUAAAAUCUCCAUCAAACAAGCACUUAGUAAAUUGAUAUUUAAUUGAUAUAAUAUUUCUUCUUGAUCAAAACCGACAUCUUUUCGGUUUUCCACAAAAGAUUCAACCGUCAUCACCUUUCUUGGUUGUGCUAAAAUGAAAAACGUAAUUUUGUCAAUCUUUCAAAAAAAUCAAGAAAGACAAAAUUCCCAUUAUUAGAAUUGUAUGUAGGAAUUGUAUGCAAAAGUGUUGAACCGUGUAGUCUUAUUUUCGAUUGGUUAGUUUCCUUGUUAGUUGGCUCAGCUGGUUCCAAGUUGUCGUGCUGUUAUCCAGCUGGCAUAUAUUUUUGGUGCCAACUUUAAAUGCUAUUUAUACAUCUUUGUACAUACGCUUUUCACUGAAUAGAUGAUCAAUGAAAUUCAGUUCACUCCUCCAUUCGUCUCUAAUAUGGUAUCAGAGCAAAUAUAUAUAAUCUGAUCAUCUUUCUCAUUCAUAUUCUGGAUCAAACAAUCAGACUACACGGUUCUACACUUUUGCAUACAGUUCCUACAUACGAUUCUAAUACCCAUAAUAAAUAGAAAGGAGAAUUACUUGAUCAUCUCAAAUUUGUAAAAUUAAACAGUAGAAUUACCUGAUCAGAAAGCGGAACUAGGCUCUUGUGAAAUCGAAUAAUGAAAGUAGUUUCCAGAGAGAG
Molecule: long non-coding RNA, 1347 nt
Filed under: Olea europaea (common olive)
Lineage: Eukaryota; Viridiplantae; Streptophyta; Magnoliopsida; Lamiales; Oleaceae
Description: long non-coding RNA (OEUR_LNC014457)
Source: RNAcentral